This 462-nucleotide long non-coding RNA is filed under the name Spirodela polyrhiza (greater duckweed). Its description in RNAcentral is "long non-coding RNA (SPOL_LNC001893)". The record is from RNAcentral. Lineage: Eukaryota; Viridiplantae; Streptophyta; Magnoliopsida; Alismatales; Araceae.
GGUGGCGGAGGUAGUGGAGGCUCCGGCAGGUCUCACCCUUCUUCCCUUCCACCACCGCCGCCGCCGCCGCCGCCGAUGUUCGCGGUUUCGCGCGUCGUGAUCCGCAGAUCUGGCAGGUAAUCUCCUUCUCUGAUGCAUCCCGAUCGCUGCUCUAUGAUCUUCGGAGCUCCGUUGCGAGAACCGCGAUCUGCGUUCUAGUAGAAGAGUAAACCGUGUUGUCGCAGUGACGAUCUCUCUGAUCUCCUCUCGGAAUCUCUUUCAGAACCUCCUGUGGCUAAUUUUUCAGCGGGGGGAGUUUCGUUUUUGAUCUCCCGCUCUCAGAUUUGGAUAUCAAUCGUCUCUGUGGCGCUCUCAGUUCGGCCUGGUUUGUUCUUCCCGAUUUUUCCCCGCAAGGAGAUUUGAUCGAGGACGGGACUCGCUGUCAGGUGUGAUCUUCAAAUCCUGUGCCUCUCAUGUCUUGCC